CGGGACGUGGCGCAGCUUGGUAGCGCACUUGACUGGGGGUCAAGGGGUCUUGACUGGGGGUCAAGGGGUCGCAGGUUCAAAUCCUGUCGUCCCGA
This 95-nucleotide transfer RNA is filed under the name Streptomyces sp. NRRL WC-3618. It matches the Rfam family "tRNA". Rfam says of the family: Transfer RNA (tRNA) molecules are approximately 80 nucleotides in length. Their secondary structure includes four short double-helical elements and three loops (D, anti-codon, and T loops). Lineage: Bacteria; Bacillati; Actinomycetota; Actinomycetes; Kitasatosporales; Streptomycetaceae. The record is from Rfam by way of RNAcentral.